CAACUCCACUGAGAGGGUCCUGCAGAGCCUGCUGGAUCCUUGUUCAAGAAGAGCAGCCUGGGCCCCUUCUCCUUGAGUGGCAGACUGGUCUCCCUCAGUGGCUCCAGGCUCUGCACCCUGGAGUUUAUGCAUGCAGAGAGAGCACCAGCUACAUUUCCGCAGCAUCAGCUGGAACCUCAGCAACCUGGAGCCCACAUCCUCGGAGUACACCGCCCUGCAGA
Molecule: long non-coding RNA, 221 nt
Organism: Diceros bicornis minor
Lineage: Eukaryota; Metazoa; Chordata; Mammalia; Perissodactyla; Rhinocerotidae
Exons: 3
Source: RefSeq, a predicted model, not a curated record